RNAcentral lists this ribosomal RNA (495 nucleotides) under uncultured Planctomycetales bacterium. RNAcentral's name for it is "bacterial SSU rRNA". It matches the Rfam family "Bacterial small subunit ribosomal RNA", at positions 30 to 518 of the family's 1533-position model. Lineage: Bacteria; Pseudomonadati; Planctomycetota; Planctomycetia; Planctomycetales. The record is from RNAcentral.
UGAACGUUGGCGGCGUGGAUUAGGCAUGCAAGUCGAGCGCGAACCGUAGCAAUACGGGGAGAGCGGCAAACGGGGUAGGAAGGAUUGGUGACGUACCCUUCGGACGGGGAUAGCCAUGGGAAACUAUGGGUAAUACCCGAUGAUCUCCUGAGUUUGAAUGCUUGGGUGUAAAGGUGUGAUUCCACCGGAGGAGCGGCCAAUCUGACAUCAGCUAGUUGGUAAGGUAACGGCUUACCAAGGCUUUGACGUCUAGGGGGGUGUGAGAGCAUGGCCCCCCACCACUGGGACUGAGAUACUGCCCAGACACCUACGGGUGGCUGCAGUCGAGAAUCUUCGGCAAUGGGCGAAGGCCUGACCGAGCGACGCCGCGUGCGGGAUGAAGGCUCGGUUGUAACGCUGUCAGAGGGAGUGAAGUCGAUAGAGGGUACGUCCCUUUACUGUUGUACAGAGCCGUCCAGAGGAAGCACGGGCGUAACGUAAUGUGUCCGACGCAGC